This 131-nucleotide ribosomal RNA is filed under the name Octodon degus (degu). Lineage: Eukaryota; Metazoa; Chordata; Mammalia; Rodentia; Octodontidae. The record is from RNAcentral.
GCCUACAUCCAUACCACCCUGAACGCGCCUGAUCUCUUCUGCUCUUGGAAGCUAAGCAGGGUCGGGCCUGGUUAGUACUUGGAAGGGAGUUAUACUUCUUUAUAUGGGUUAAAGUUAAGAAUUAGUGGACU